GACGAACGCUGGCGGCGUGCCUAAUACAUGCAAGUUGAGCGCUGAAGGUUGGUUCUUGUACCAACUGGAUGAGCAGCGAACGGGCGAGUAACGCGUGGGGAAUCUGCCUUUGAGCGGGGGACAACAUUUGGAAACGAAUGCUAAUACCGCAUAAAAACUUUAAACACAAGUUUUAAGUUUGAAAGAUGCAAUUGCAUCACUCAAAGAUGAUCCCGCGUUGUAUUAGCUAGUUGGUGAGGUAAAGGCUCACCAAGGCGAGGAUACAUAGCCGACCUGAGAGGGUGAUCGGCCACAUUGGGACUGAGACACGCCCCAAACUCCUACGGGAGGCAGCAGUAGGGAAUCUUCGGCAAGGGACGAAAGUCUGACCGAGCAACGCCGCGUGAGUGAAGAAGGUUUUCGGAUCGUAAAACUCUGUUGGUAGGGAAGAACGUUGGUGAGAGUGGAAAGCUCAGCAAGUGACGGUAACUACCCAGAAAGGGACGGCUAACUACGUG
Molecule: ribosomal RNA, 497 nt
Filed under: uncultured bacterium
Lineage: Bacteria
Description: partial 16S ribosomal RNA
Rfam family: Bacterial small subunit ribosomal RNA
Source: RNAcentral